This 440-nucleotide ribosomal RNA is filed under the name uncultured bacterium. RNAcentral's name for it is "partial 16S ribosomal RNA". It matches the Rfam family "Bacterial small subunit ribosomal RNA", at positions 338 to 795 of the family's 1533-position model. The record is from RNAcentral.
CCUACGGGUGGCAGCAGUGGGGGAUAUUGCACAAUGGGGGAAACCCUGAUGCAGCGACGCCGCGUGUGGGAAGACGGUCCUCUGGAUUGCAAACCACUGUCCCCAGGGACGAAAAUGCCGGUACCUGGGGAGGAAGCUCCGGCUAACUACGUGCCAGCAGCCGCGGUAAUACGUAGGGAGCGAGCGUUGUCCGGAAGUACUGUGUGUAAAGGGAGCGUAGGCGGUGAUGCAAGUUGGGUGUCAAAACUACCGGCUCAACUGGUAGUCGCACUCAAAACUGCAGCUCUUGAGUGAAGUAGAGGCAGGCGGAAUUCCUAGGGUAGCGGUGAAAUGCGUAGAUAUUAGGAGGAACACCAGUGGCGAAGGCGGCCUGCUGGGCUUUUACUGACGCUGAGGCUCGAAAGUGUGGGGAGCAAACAGGAUUAGAUACCCUAGUAGUC